UGGGGAAUUUUCCGCAAUGGGCGAAAGCCUGACGGAGCAAGACCGCGUGAGGGAGGAAGGCCUUUGGGUUGUAAACCUCUUUUCUCAGGGAAGAAGAAAGUGACGGUACCUGAGGAAUCAGCCUCGGCUAACUCCGUGCCAGCAGCCGCGGUAAUACGGAGGAGGCAAGCGUUAUCCGGAAUUAUUGGGCGUAAAGCGUCCGCAGGUGGCCGUUCAAGUCUGUCGUCAAAACCCAGGGCUCAACUCUGGAUCGGCGGUGGAAACUGAAUAGCUAGAGUACGGUAGGGGCAGAGGGAAUUCCCAGUGUAGCGGUGAAAUGCGUAGAUAUUGGGAAGAACACCGGUGGCGAAGGCGCUCUGCUGGGCCGAAACUGACACUCAUGGACGAAAGCUAGGGGAGCGAAAGGGAUUAGAUACCCCCGUAGUCC
Molecule: ribosomal RNA, 427 nt
Filed under: uncultured prokaryote
Description: bacterial SSU rRNA
Rfam family: Bacterial small subunit ribosomal RNA
Source: RNAcentral